GCCGUCUCGGUUCGAUCGGGAUACUCAUCAAAUUUCGUUGAAAACCAGGGCUGUCUUCUCUUGUCAAUGGCGGGCCACUAACCAAGCAUCAAAUCACGAAUGCCGGUGGAUUACAAAGACGGAGAGCGCCCCCAACCUGUGAUAAAGGAGUUUUCAUCACAUCACUCUGGCGGCC
RNAcentral lists this small RNA (175 nucleotides) under uncultured Prevotella sp. Its description in RNAcentral is "Bacteroidales-1 6S-Bacteroidales RNA suggested". It matches the Rfam family "Bacteroidales-1 6S-Bacteroidales RNA suggested". The record is from RNAcentral. Lineage: Bacteria; Pseudomonadati; Bacteroidota; Bacteroidia; Bacteroidales; Prevotellaceae.